GGGGAGAUGUGAAAAUUAAUGCCGAGUUUGUCAUGGCGUCCAUUCACCCUCAGCUGAGUGAGAAGGGAACCUCCAAGCAUCAGUUUGAGCUGGACCUGGUUAACUUCAUUCAGGACUUGCUUUAUGAGUCAGAAGAAGGUCAAGAACAUGUAGCUGACGAAGAUGGCCCAAGAUCUAUCACACCUGCCAGGUUUCUGCAAUGGAUCACCGGUCAAGGCCAUGUUCCUCUCCUCCC
Molecule: long non-coding RNA, 235 nt
Organism: Oreochromis aureus
Lineage: Eukaryota; Metazoa; Chordata; Actinopteri; Cichliformes; Cichlidae
Exons: 3
Source: RefSeq, a predicted model, not a curated record